GAUUUUACAUAAAAUAAAAUUUACGAGGGCAUAUAUUUUAGAAAGUAUUCAUUCUUGCAAAUACGAAAAUAAACAUAAGUAAUGACGUCACAAUGUGUAAAGAAAAGUGAUUGUGACGUCACAAUGUGAUGACGUUGAUUCGGCCGUAACGUUGUGGCAACACAUCUGUUUGCAUCAAGAUAUAUUCUCAAAUUGUAAUGAAGCGAUCAAGUGAACAAUCGGAGCAUCUUUACGCAACAAAGAAGGCAAGAGUACUUGUUGGCUAUGGAAGAUCGAUUGAGUCGAUGGACAUUGACCAAGACAAAUUUUGGAAUACGAAAAAACUGACCAGACCACCACCUCUGACAGCGGUAAGA
Long non-coding RNA from Saccostrea cuccullata (small rock oyster), 356 nucleotides. RefSeq lists it as uncharacterized. The transcript has 3 exons. The record is from RefSeq and is a predicted model, not a curated record. NCBI's taxonomy places the organism in Eukaryota, Metazoa, Mollusca, Bivalvia, Ostreida, Ostreidae.